Molecule: long non-coding RNA, 1523 nt
Organism: Colius striatus (speckled mousebird)
Lineage: Eukaryota; Metazoa; Chordata; Aves; Coliiformes; Coliidae
Exons: 2
Source: RefSeq, a predicted model, not a curated record
AAGGUAUUGCUGCAGCUCAUUACGCAUUCUGUGCAAUGCAAAGUCUCAGCUUUAUUUUUGUCAGAAGCACACGCUGGAUAUAAAGCUCCCUUUUGGCAGGGAAAAGAGAUUUCAGGGCUCCGCAAACCCAGAUUCCUUUGCUUGUGGCUCCAUCCCAGUCGAAGCGUGGUAUUUUCCUUGGAGAUGCAUCAGCAGCAGGAAGAUGAUUCUUUGGGCAGGGUGCGGUGCACAGCAGCCUCCCGUUGGCACCGUGUCGUUCUGCGGAGACGCUCGGCGACACGUCGCUCAGCCUGGCAGUGCUGAUCCAGAGCCACGCGCAGGGGGAGAACGAGCCCCCGCGUUGGAGAGCACGGGAGUGUAGCAGCAGUGCAGGGACACUUGGUUCAUCAGCUGAGGCGGUGUGUUUGUAAAAGAGACCCAGAAACUGGAGGGUUUGGAGUGCACGUGACGACACACGGCGCGUUUUCUUUCGUUCGGCAGGCGGGAGGAAGGGGUCACAAGCGCAAGCUGGAUGAAGACGCCGCCGCCAGUGAAUCCAGCAAGGGAUCCAGCAACGAGGAUGAGGAGGGAAGCAGCUCGGAAGCGGACGAAAUGGCAGCGGCGCUCGAAGCCGAAUUGAACGACUUCAUGUGAGAGCCAGGCAGAAGCCGGGGUCCGUAACGGUGUGGGACUCGUGAGGAGCGGGUGGGGCUGCAGCCAGCCCCUGGCGGCGCUGCUCCAUGGUGCCCGAGAUGUGUGUGUAUAUUUUGCAAAGCAACACAAGAGGUGACACGUUAUUUUGCAGAAUCGGGAGCAGAUGUUUUUAAGGUGUUUUACUAAAGGAAAAUAUACUUUUUUAAACAAACAAAAAGUGUGAAAUGGGACUUGGUGUGCUAUGCCAAAGACGUGUUAGGAGCUCUGCAGAACCUUCAUAGGCAGGACAGCGAUACACAGAUGGGUCACUAGGCGUGCAGCCGCUUGUUAAAAUACGCCGCAGGCUGUGGUCUGUGGGUGACGGUCCUCGGCACGGAGGAGCAGAUCCAGGAGGUGGAAUUGUCUGGGUAGUACAGCAGGAACCUGAUGAACUGGUCACCCUUUUCCACAAAUAAAUGCUGUCAAAUGUAAAAGGGUUUUUAAAGUAAGAAAGAACACUUUAUAUUUGUAUAGAGCAGAGAAUGUGAUAUGCAAGCUUUGUGAACCCCGCUCUUGGCCCACCUGGCGUUUGCUUCUAAGAGCAUACAUAGGGCUCAGAACUCAUGGUUUUAAGUUACUUUGUGGAAUAGUUGGGUUCUUUAGGGACACGGGUUAGAUUUUGAACUUUCCUCUGUAAGCAGAAGUUUAGCACAGCACACUGUGUGAUCCUGUACUGCCACCAGAAGCAUAUUCACCCAUUCGUGUUGUCCUGCAAAGAGCGAGUGCUGCUUCGGUCUAGGUAGGGUUUCAUUUCUUUGACAAGAGAUCUGAUGUAAAGUUUUUUGUAUAUUCUAUUUCAUAUUUGACCCACAAAACAGAUUUUCUUUCAUUUAAUAAAAAUUCAUUUUGUA